This 524-nucleotide ribosomal RNA is filed under the name uncultured bacterium. RNAcentral's name for it is "partial 16S ribosomal RNA". It matches the Rfam family "Bacterial small subunit ribosomal RNA", at positions 28 to 523 of the family's 1533-position model. The record is from RNAcentral.
GACGAACGCUGGCGGCGUGCCUAAUACAUGCAAGUCGAACGCUUCUUUUUCCACCGGAGCUUGCUCCACCGGAAAAAGAGGAGUGGCGAACGGGUGAGUAACACGUGGGUAACCUGCCCAUCAGAAGGGGAUAAAACUUGGAAACAGGUGCUAAUACCGUAUAACAAUCAAAACCGCAUGGGUUUGAUUUUAAUGGCGCUUUCGGGUGUCGCUGAUGCAUGGACCCGCGGUGCAUCAGCUAGUUGGUGAGUUAACGGCUCACAAAGGCCACUAUGCAGAGCCGACCUGGGAGGGGGAUGGGGCACAUUGGGACUGAGACACGGCCCAAACUCCUACGGGAGGCAGCAGUAGGGAAUCUUCGGCAAUGGACGAAAGUCUGACCGAGCAACGCCGCGUGAGUGAAGAAGGUUUUCGGAUCGUAAAACUCUGUUGUUAGAGAAGAACAAGGAUGAGAGUAACUGUUCAUCCCUUGACGGUAUCUAACCAGAAAGCCACGGCUAACUACGUGCCAGCCGCCGCAGUAA